UUUUUGGGAAGUGAUCCAACGAGAGAAGCCAUUUUCCGACUGGGAUUUGCAUGACAUCAGUGAACAUAUAAAAAGAGGUAUUCGACCGGAUAUUUAUAAUUUGAUCAAUGACGAUUAUAGUGGUAUAGUACCGAUAAUGGAAUGUUGUUGGCGCCAAUCCUCAACAGAUCGUCCAACGAUGAGUGAAGUGCGUCGCGAUUUAAAUUAUUCAAUUAAGCGCUAUGACCAUCAAUCAAAUUGCUGCAUAAGUUAGAACUAAAUUAAAAUAAAGCAAUAACAAAUUA
Molecule: long non-coding RNA, 284 nt
Organism: Drosophila nasuta
Lineage: Eukaryota; Metazoa; Arthropoda; Insecta; Diptera; Drosophilidae
Exons: 2
Source: RefSeq, a predicted model, not a curated record